This is a long non-coding RNA of Mercenaria mercenaria, 652 nucleotides long. RefSeq lists it as uncharacterized. NCBI's taxonomy places the organism in Eukaryota, Metazoa, Mollusca, Bivalvia, Venerida, Veneridae. The transcript has 4 exons. The record is from RefSeq and is a predicted model, not a curated record.
UAAAGAUUUUCGUUUCAGGUGGUGCUUUACCUGGUACGUUCGUUCGCAGACGGCUUUCCUGGACCGUGUGGACUCUGUGGUGACAGUGAUGCAGACCCAUGUGAUGACAGUCUAGAAGAAGGAGAUGAGUGCGCAGAAGGCAAAACUUGUCAGGAAUGUUACGUAAGCGGUGAAAAAACCUGCAAUCUGGUUUGUAGUCAAACUGAUGACAGCUCCGAAGAAAAAUAACGUAAAGAACCUGAUAUAACAAAGGUUUAAAGAGACAUUUUACCAGAGUUAUGCUUUUGUCUGAAAUAUAGAAAUAGCUUUCAUUUGAUAUAUCAACAGUAAAGAGAAAGUAUUUAUUUUGUUAUUUGCAAUGUAUAAUAUAUAAGCUCUGCAGAGUUCUGUAAAAAGAUGUUUUAGUGAAUUAGACACACAGUAGUAAUGUGACGUAAACCCUAAAUGAACUACGUUGUCUUCUGUAUCAAACUUAAUAACCUUGUUUUUAAAAUUAUGUUUUAGAUGUAGCCUAUGUUUAUUCAUCAUGUGUUUAAUGUUUGUGCAUAAAGAGCUAGUAGUCCUCUCGCAAUAUACCAUCGAUGAAUGAUAUUUAUUUUACUGGUCUUCUGGAAUGACCAAUAUCUGACAAACCUGUUGUACAAAGGACAAA